CCCCAUCCAUCUCGCCCAUGACUUUUCAGUCCAUCCCGAUAAGUUGCAUAAGUUCGUCCAGCGCUGAAGGCUGCAGAUUAUUUCCAAAGUCGAUAAUUUCUUCUUCUUGUCCUUCUUCCUGACUCCCGGCCACCAAAGCCAAAUCACCUGCUGCUUUGGCUAUAUGAAGUUUUUUCGCAUGCGCAUCUCCUAGUUUCAAGGCAUGCGCUUCACGCUGGGUAGCUGGCAAGGUGGGAUUUGCGAAAUGCUUUUGCGGACGUGAUCUAAUGUCCAAACCAUUUGAGCGAGCGGAAAGAGCGGGCGAAGUAAUGUGCUGAGUGAUUGGCUCCUGUGCUGGGAUGGUAAUUUUGCCUUGAAUGUUUGGAUAAGGCAGAGAAAUAGACGGAGUGCUGACGUCGUCGUUAACCUCGAAAAACAAAUCUGUGAUUUCACCCUUCGUUCCAUUAAACGGUGGGGUAAUAUUUUCUGUCUGGUGGACCGAGGAUGCCGUCUCAUCAAACAUUAUACAUAGACGGUCAAUCGGGUCUUGUUUGGAGUCUUCGAAGAGCUGCAAGACAUUGCCAGCAUGCUUCACGCCGUCUGAAGUUUCAACAUCUGGGGAGAGAAGACUGGCCAUGAUUUUUCUGGGUUUGGACCCGCGAGGAAUCUCAACUUGUAUGUGGGCGGGGCACCCUCUGCGAGUCACUGGAUUUUCAAAAGACUCAUUUGCGAUCCUACCAAGAAUUGGCUGGAGUACCCAAGGGAAACUGAUGAGGGGCAACUUUCUCUCCUGAAAAUGUGAAUUAUCAACGA
RNAcentral lists this small RNA (792 nucleotides) under Histoplasma capsulatum. Its description in RNAcentral is "hypothetical RNA". Lineage: Eukaryota; Fungi; Ascomycota; Eurotiomycetes; Onygenales; Ajellomycetaceae. RNAcentral also lists the same sequence under 1 other name. The record is from RNAcentral.